AUACGGAGGGUGCAAGCGUUAUUCGGAAUCACUGGGCGUAAAGGACGCGUAGGCGGGUUGGCAAGUCAGAUGUGAAAUCCUACAGCUUAACUGUAGAACUGCAUUUGAAACUGCUAACCUAGAGUAUGGGAGGGGGAGAUGGAAUUAGUGGUGUAGGGGUAAAAUCCGUAGAUAUCACUAGGAAUACCGAAAGCGAAGGCGAUCUCCUGGAACAUAACUGACGCUAUGGCGUGAAAGCGUGGGGAGCAAACAGGAUUAGAUACCCUAGUAGUCC
This 274-nucleotide ribosomal RNA is filed under the name uncultured bacterium. Its description in RNAcentral is "partial 16S ribosomal RNA". It matches the Rfam family "Bacterial small subunit ribosomal RNA", at positions 523 to 796 of the family's 1533-position model. The record is from RNAcentral.